This 515-nucleotide ribosomal RNA is filed under the name uncultured bacterium. RNAcentral describes it as "partial 16S ribosomal RNA". It matches the Rfam family "Bacterial small subunit ribosomal RNA", at positions 28 to 523 of the family's 1533-position model. The record is from RNAcentral.
GACGAACGCUGGCGGCGUGCCUAAUACAUGCAAGUCGAGCGGACUUUCAAGAAGCUUGCUUUUUGGAAGUUAGCGGCGGACGGGUGAGUAACACGUGGGCAACCUGCCUGUAAGACGGGGAUAACUCCGGGAAACCGGGGCUAAUACCGGAUAAUAUCUUUCUUCGCAUGAAGGAAGGUUGAAAGGCGGCGCAAGCUGCCGCUUGCAGAUGGGCCCGCGGCGCAUUAGCUAGUUGGGUAGGUAACGGCUCACCAAGGCGACGAUGCGUAGCCGACCUGAGAGGGUGAUCGGCCACACUGGGACUGAGACACGGCCCAGACUCCUACGGGAGGCAGCAGUAGGGAAUCUUCCGCAAUGGACGAAAGUCUGACGGAGCAACGCCGCGUGAGCGAAGAAGGUCUUCGGAUCGUAAAGCUCUGUUGUCAGGGAAGAACAAGUACCGUUCGAAUAGGGCGGUACCUUGACGGUACCUGACCAGAAAGCCACGGCUAACUACGUGCCAGCCGCCGCCGUAA